UGAGGAAUAUUGGGCAAUGCCCGAAAGGGUGACCCAGCAACGCCGCGUGGAGGAUGAAGGUCGUAAGAUUGUAAACUCCUGUUAGAGGGGAAGAAUAACUAAGUUUGGAGCUUAGUAUGACUGUACCCUCAGAGAAAGCCCCGGCUAACUACGUGCCAGCAGCCGCGGUAAUACGUAGGGGGCAAGCGUUGUCCGGAUUUACUGGGUGUAAAGGGCGCGCAGGCGGAAUGGAAAGUCAGUGGUGAAAUCCUACAGCUUAACUGUAGAACUGCCUUUGAUACUUUCAUUCUUGAGUUCGGGAGAGAGAGACGGAAUGCCAGGUGUAGUGGUGAAAUACGUAGAUAUCUGGAAGAACACCAGUUGCGAAGGCGGUCUCUUGGUCCGAUACUGACGCUGAGGCGCGAAAGCGUGGGGAGCAAACA
Molecule: ribosomal RNA, 422 nt
Filed under: uncultured bacterium
Lineage: Bacteria
Description: bacterial SSU rRNA
Rfam family: Bacterial small subunit ribosomal RNA
Source: RNAcentral